GAGUAGGCGCUACWACGCCKAAWUGACCUUCUCACCCUUGUGUACUCACUAUGUUGCUUUGGCGGGUCGACCUGGUUCCGACCCAGGCGGCCGGCGCCCCCAGCCUUAACUGGCCAGGACGCCCGGCUAAGUGCCCGCCAGUAUACAAAACUCAAGAAUUCAUUUUGUGAAGUCCUGAUAUAUCAUUUAAUUGAUUAAAACUUUCAACAACGGAUCUCUUGGUUCUGGCAUCGAUGAAGAACGCMGCGAAAUGCGAUAAGUAAUGUGAAUUGCAGAAUUCAGUGAAUCAUCGAAUCUUUGAACGCACAUUGCGCCCUCUGGUAUUCCGGAGGGCAUGCCUGUUCGAGCGUCAUUUCAACCCUCAAGCUCUGCUUGGUAUUGGGCAACGUCCGCUGCCGGACGUGCCUUGAAGACCUCGGCGACGGCGUCCUAGCCUCGAGCGUAGUAKUAAAAUAUCUCGCUUUGGAGUGCUGGGCGACGGCCGCCGGACAAUCGACCUUCGGUCUAUUUUUCCAAGGUUGACCUCGGAUCAGGUAGGGAUACCCGCUGAACUUAAGCAUAUCAAUAAAGCGGAGGAA
This 578-nucleotide ribosomal RNA is filed under the name fungal sp. SNB-LAP1-7-78. RNAcentral describes it as "eukaryotic LSU rRNA". The record is from RNAcentral. Lineage: Eukaryota; Fungi.